GACGAACGCUGGCGGCGUGCUUAACACAUGCAAGUCGAACGGACAGGUCCUGCUUUUGUGGGGGGCUCGAGUGGCGAACGGGUGAGUAACACGUGAGUAACCUGCCCUUGACCUUGGGAUAACUUCAGGAAACUGGGGCUAACUACGGCUAGGAGCUCCUGCUGCACGGCGGGGGUUGGAAAGUUUCGGCGGUUGGGGAUGGACUCGCGGCUUAUCAGCUUGUUGGUGGGGUAGUGGCUUACCAAGGCUUUGACGGGUAGCCGGCCUGGGAGGGUGACCGGCCACAUUGGGACUGGGAUACGGCCCAGACUCCUACGGGAGGCAGCAGUGGGGAAUGUUGCACAAUGGGCGGAAGCCUGAUGCAGCGACGCCGCGUGCGGGAUGACGGCCUUCGGGUUGUAAACCGCUUUCGCCUGUGACGAAGCGUGAGUGACGGUAAUGGGUAAAGAAGCACCGGCUAACUACGUG
This 468-nucleotide ribosomal RNA is filed under the name uncultured bacterium. Its description in RNAcentral is "partial 16S ribosomal RNA". It matches the Rfam family "Bacterial small subunit ribosomal RNA", at positions 28 to 507 of the family's 1533-position model. The record is from RNAcentral.